RNAcentral lists this ribosomal RNA (256 nucleotides) under uncultured Stenotrophomonas sp. Its description in RNAcentral is "partial 16S ribosomal RNA". It matches the Rfam family "Bacterial small subunit ribosomal RNA", at positions 97 to 355 of the family's 1533-position model. The record is from RNAcentral. Lineage: Bacteria; Pseudomonadati; Pseudomonadota; Gammaproteobacteria; Lysobacterales; Lysobacteraceae.
GGCGGACGGGUGAGGAAUACAUCGGAAUCUACUCUGUCGUGGGGGAUAACGUAGGGAAACUUACGCUAAUACCGCAUACGACCUACGGGUGAAAGCAGGGGAUCUUCGGACCUUGCGCGAUUGAAUGAGCCGAUGUCGGAUUAGCUAGUUGGCGGGGUAAAGGCCCACCAAGGCGACGAUCCGUAGCUGGUCUGAGAGGAUGAUCAGCCACACUGGAACUGAGACACGGUCCAGACUCCUACGGGAGGCAGCAGCC